CGCAGCCGCGGUAAUUCCAGCUCCAAUAGCGUAUAUUAAAGUUGUUGCAGUUAAAAAGCUCGUAGUUGAAUUUCGGGACCAGUAUGUUGGUCGUGCUUCGGUACGUACUGUCAUUACUGGUUUCCACCUUUUGAAGAACCUUGAUGUCAUUAAUUUGGUGUCUUGGGGAAUCAGGACUGUUACUUUGAAAAAAUUAGAGUGUUUAAAGCAAGCAUACGCUUGAAUACAUUAGCAUGGAAUAAUGAAAUAGGACGUUUGAUUCUAUUUUGUUGGUUUCUAGGAUCGACGUAAUGAUUAAUAGGGAUAGUUGGAGGCAUUAGUAUUCAAUUGUCAGAGGUGAAAUUCUUGGAUUUAUUGAAGACUAACUACUGCGAAAAGCAUUUUGCCAAGGAUGUUUUUCAUUAAUCAAGAACGAAAGUUAGGGGAUCGAAGACGAUCAGAUACCGUCGUAGUCUUAACCAUAAAACUAUGCCGACUAGGGAUCGGAUGAUGUUAUUUUUAAUGACUCAUUCGGCGCCUUACGG
Molecule: ribosomal RNA, 524 nt
Filed under: uncultured Glomus
Lineage: Eukaryota; Fungi; Glomeromycota; Glomeromycetes; Glomerales; Glomeraceae
Description: SSU rRNA
Rfam family: Eukaryotic small subunit ribosomal RNA
Source: RNAcentral